This 252-nucleotide ribosomal RNA is filed under the name uncultured Bacteroidales bacterium. Its description in RNAcentral is "partial 16S ribosomal RNA". It matches the Rfam family "Bacterial small subunit ribosomal RNA", at positions 524 to 776 of the family's 1533-position model. The record is from RNAcentral. Lineage: Bacteria; Pseudomonadati; Bacteroidota; Bacteroidia; Bacteroidales.
UACGGAGGAUGCGAGCGUUAUCCGGAUUUAUUGGGUUUAAAGGGUGCGUAGGCGGUCCGUUAAGUCAGCGGUCAAAUGUCGGGGCUCAACCCCGGCCUGCCGUUGAAACUGGCGGCCUCGAGUGGGCGAGAAGUAUGCGGAAUGCGUGGUGUAGCGGUGAAAUGCUUAGAUAUCACACAGAACACCGAUUGCGAAGGCAGCUUUCCAAGCUAUUACUGACGCUGAGGCACGAAAGCGUGGGGAGCGAACAGG